CCUACGGGUGGCAGCAGUGGGGAAUAUUGGACAAUGGGCGAAAGCCUGAUCCAGCCAUGCCGCGUGUGUGAAGAAGGCCUUCGGGUUGUAAAGCACUUUCAGUGGGGAAGAAAGCCUUGGGGCUAAUACCCUCGAGGAAGGACAUCACCCACAGAAGAAGCACCGGCUAACUCCGUGCCAGCAGCCGCGGUAAUACGGAGGGUGCGAGCGUGAAUCGGAAUUACUGGGCGUAAAGCGCGCGUAGGCGGUCUGAUAAGCCGGUUGUGAAAGCCCCGGGCUCAACCUGGGAACGGCAUCCGGAACUGUCAGGCUAGAGUGCAGGAGAGGAAGGUAGAAUUCCCGGUGUAGCGGUGAAAUGCGUAGAGAUCGGGAGGAAUACCAGUGGCGAAGGCGGCCUUCUGGACUGACACUGACGCUGAGGUGCGAAAGCGUGGGUAGCAAACAGGAUUAGAUACCCCGGUAGUC
This 465-nucleotide ribosomal RNA is filed under the name Vreelandella stevensii. RNAcentral's name for it is "partial 16S ribosomal RNA". It matches the Rfam family "Bacterial small subunit ribosomal RNA", at positions 338 to 795 of the family's 1533-position model. The record is from RNAcentral. Lineage: Bacteria; Pseudomonadati; Pseudomonadota; Gammaproteobacteria; Oceanospirillales; Halomonadaceae.